GCCGAAGUGGUUGAAAUUGGUAGACACGCUAUCUUGAGGGUAGUGGAGACCCGUCGGGUUCAAGUCCCGGCUUCGGCACCA
Molecule: transfer RNA, 81 nt
Filed under: Syntrophaceae bacterium
Lineage: Bacteria; Pseudomonadati; Thermodesulfobacteriota; Syntrophia; Syntrophales; Syntrophaceae
Description: tRNA-Ser
Source: RNAcentral